RNAcentral lists this ribosomal RNA (199 nucleotides) under uncultured bacterium. RNAcentral describes it as "partial 16S ribosomal RNA". It matches the Rfam family "Bacterial small subunit ribosomal RNA", at positions 328 to 539 of the family's 1533-position model. The record is from RNAcentral.
ACGCUCGACACCUACGGAGGCAGCAGUGGGGAAUAUUGCACAAUGGGGGAAACCCUGAUGCAGCGACGCCGCGUGAGCGAAGAAGUAUUUCGGUAUGUAAAGCUCUAUCAGCAGGAAAGAAGAAAGACGGUACCUGACUAAGAAGCCCCGGCUAACUACGUGCUAGCAGCCGCGGUAAUCUGAGGCGGGCUGGCAAGGC